AACGAACGCUGGCGGCGUGCUUAACACAUGCAAGUCGAGCGGAAAGGCCCCUUUGGGGGUACUCGAGCGGCGAACGGGUGAGUAACACGUGAGUAAUCUGCCCUUCACUUUGGGAUAACCCCCGGAAACGGGAGCUAAUACCGGAUACGACCACUCCAAGCAUGUGGUGGGGGUGGAAAAUUUUUUGGGUGGGGGUUGUGCCCGCGGCCUAUCAGCUUGUUGGUGGGGUAAUGGCCGCCCAAGGCUUUGACGGGUAGCCGGCCUGAGAGGGUGACCGGCCACACUGGGACUGAGACACGGCCCAGACUCCUACGGGAGGCAGCAGUGGGGAAUAUUGCACAAUGGGCGCAAGCCUGAUGCAGCAACGCCGCGUGAGGGACGACGGCCUUCGGGUUGUAAACCUCUUUUAGUAGGGAAGAAGCGGAAGUGACAGUACCUGCAGAAAAAGCACCGGCUAACUACGUGCCAGCCGCCGCCGUAA
Molecule: ribosomal RNA, 481 nt
Filed under: uncultured bacterium
Lineage: Bacteria
Description: partial 16S ribosomal RNA
Rfam family: Bacterial small subunit ribosomal RNA
Source: RNAcentral